AGCAGCCGCGGUAAUUCCAGCUCCAAUAGCGUAUAUUAAAGUUGUUGCAGUUAAAAAGCUCGUAGUUGAAUUUCGAGAUCAAAUUGUUGGUCGUGCCUCGGUACGUACUGGCAUUAUUGUUUUCUCCCUUCUGAAGAACCACGAUGUCAUUAAUUUGGUGUCGUGGGGAAUCAGGACCGUUACUUUGAAAAAAUUAGAGUGUUUAAAGCAGGCUCACGCUUGAAUACAUUAGCAUGGAAUAAUGAAAUAGGACGUUUGAUUCUAUUUUGUUGGUUUCUAGGAUCGACGUAAUGAUUAAUAGGGAUAGUUGGGGGCAUUAGUAUUCAAUUGUCAGAGGUGAAAUUCUUGGAUUUAUUGAAGACUAACUACUGCGAAAGCAUUUGCCAAGGAUGUUUUCAUUAAUCAAGAACGAAAGUUAGGGGAUCGAAGACGAUCAGAUACCGUCGUAGU
Molecule: ribosomal RNA, 450 nt
Filed under: uncultured Glomeromycotina
Lineage: Eukaryota; Fungi; Glomeromycota
Description: SSU rRNA
Rfam family: Eukaryotic small subunit ribosomal RNA
Source: RNAcentral